RNAcentral lists this unclassified non-coding RNA (352 nucleotides) under soil metagenome. Its description in RNAcentral is "partial contains 5.8S ribosomal RNA, internal transcribed spacer 2, and large subunit ribosomal RNA". The stretch from base 1 to 120 matches the Rfam family "5.8S ribosomal RNA", at positions 35 to 154 of the family's 154-position model. The record is from RNAcentral.
GAUGAAGAACGCAGCGAAAUGCGAUAAGUAAUGUGAAUUGCAGAAUUCAGUGAAUCAUCGAAUCUUUGAACGCACAUUGCGCCCGCCAGUAUUCUGGCGGGCAUGCCUGUUCGAGCGUCAUUACAACCCUCAGGACCCCGGGCCUGGCGUUGGGGAUCGGCGGAGCCCCCCGUGGGCACACGCCGUCCCCCAAAUGCAGUGGCGGUCCCGCCGCAGCUUCCAUCGCGUAGUAGCUAACACCUCGCGACUGGAGAGCGGCGCGGCCACGCCGUAAAACACCCAACUCUUCUGAAGUUGACCUCGAAUCAGGUAGGAAUACCCGCUGAACUUAAGCAUAUCAAUAAGCGGAGGA